RNAcentral lists this ribosomal RNA (254 nucleotides) under uncultured bacterium. RNAcentral's name for it is "partial 16S ribosomal RNA". It matches the Rfam family "Bacterial small subunit ribosomal RNA", at positions 524 to 776 of the family's 1533-position model. The record is from RNAcentral.
UACGUAGGGGGCGAGCGUUGUCCGGAUUUAUUGGGCGUAAAGAGCGUGUAGGCGGCCAGGUAGGUCUGCUGUGAAAACUCUAGGCUCAACCUAGAGACGCCACCCGAUACUGCUAUAGCUAGAAUCCAGUAGGGGAGUGUGGAAUUCCCAGUGUAGCGGUGAAAUGCGCAGAUAUUGGGAGGAACACCAGCGGCGAAGGCGGCACUCUGGGCUGGUAUUGACGCUGAGGAGCGAAAGCGUGGGUAGCGAACAGG